RNAcentral lists this ribosomal RNA (253 nucleotides) under uncultured bacterium. RNAcentral describes it as "partial 16S ribosomal RNA". It matches the Rfam family "Bacterial small subunit ribosomal RNA", at positions 524 to 776 of the family's 1533-position model. The record is from RNAcentral.
UACGAAGGGGGCUAGCGUUGCUCGGAAUCACUGGGCGUAAAGCGCACGUAGGCGGCUUUUUAAGUCAGGGGUGAAAUCCUGGAGCUCAACUCCAGAACUGCCUUUGAUACUGGGAAGCUUGAGUCCGGGAGAGGUGAGUGGAACUCCGAGUGUAGAGGUGAAAUUCGUAGAUAUUCGGAGGAACACCAGUGGCGAAGGCGGCUCACUGGUCCAUUACUGACGCUGAGGUGCGAAAGCGUGGGGAGCAAACAGG